UUGGAGAGUUUUUGCCGCAUUGAUUAGAGAAGGGAUUUGCCUGGAUCAUCGGCGUUUGUUGGAUCUGCGCUGAGCUGGAUUUGGUUCCGUGGUAAUUAGGGCGAAUUGUGGCUCUUGCUUUGGCCACUCCUGGGUUCUUGUCCUCUUGGAAGUUCGGUUGAGUUGCUGCUUUCUUGACGAGACCUGGGAUUGUUGCCGUGGAAUUUCCUUUGCGACAGAAUGUUAAAAGAUGAAAUGGCUACAUCUCGGCUAGAUGAUUCUUAUUUCUCAUCUUCAACCUCACAAUCCAAUCGAGACGGUUUAUUUUUGGCCAGGU
Zingiber officinale is the source of this 316-nucleotide long non-coding RNA. RefSeq lists it as uncharacterized. The transcript has 3 exons. Lineage: Eukaryota; Viridiplantae; Streptophyta; Magnoliopsida; Zingiberales; Zingiberaceae. The record is from RefSeq and is a predicted model, not a curated record.